GAUGAACGCUGGCGGCGUGCCUAAUACAUGCAAGUCGAGCGAACAGACGAUGAGCUUGCUCCUCUGACGUUAGCGGCGGACGGGUGAGUAACACGUGGAUAACCUACCUAUAAGACUGGUAUAACUUCGGGAAACCGGAGCUAAUCCCGGAUAAUAUAUUGAACCGCAUGGUUCAAUAGUGAAAGACGGUUUUGCUGUCACUUAUAGAUGGAUCCGCGCCGCAUUAGCUAGUUGGUAAGGUCACGGCUUACCAAGGCAACGAUGCGUAGCCGACCUGAGAGGGUGAUAGGCAACACUGGAACUGAGACACGGUCCAGACUCCUACGGGAGGCAGCAGUAGGGAAUCUUACGCAAUGGGCGAAAGCCUGACGGAGCAACGCCGCGUGAGUGAUGAAGGUCUUCGGAUCGUAAAACUCUGUUAUUAGGGAAGAACAAAUGUGUCAGUAACUAUGCACGUAUUGACGGUACCUAAUAAGAAAGCCACGGCUAACUACGUG
RNAcentral lists this ribosomal RNA (497 nucleotides) under uncultured bacterium. RNAcentral's name for it is "partial 16S ribosomal RNA". It matches the Rfam family "Bacterial small subunit ribosomal RNA", at positions 28 to 507 of the family's 1533-position model. The record is from RNAcentral.